AUUUCAAAAAUUGAGGGAAACAAUGGAGCAUUUCUACUGUAACACCGUCUGAUGCCAUACGCAAUUCACACGCCACAAUUAGUUGUUCGUGAUUAGGUAAUUUGAUGUGGUUCUUCAUCUUGUUAUUGCUCUUCCAUCUCAUCCUAAAAACAUCGACAGUAGGAUAACAAUGGCCUCCAUCACUCUGUUUCUCAUGAACACGAGUUCAUUUGUCAUAGCAAAUGGGUACAGGCAAGUGCAACGAAUAUGUCUCCGUGUGACUCCAUUUCUCUUCCUUCGGUUUGGGUGUCAUUCUUCAUUUUUUUUCCCCAGAGAGAAUGAAAAUUAGAUUAUUAUACUUCUUUUGAAUUUGAGAAUUCAGGCACUUUGUAGAGAUUGCACGAAACCUACCAAUGAUCUGGAUGUAAUUUUUCAGAAAAUAUGUGCAAAGUGUUCGACAAAUGCCUGUUAGAGGUGUGAGAUUUUUACCAUCUUUGACGGAAAUAUAAUCUGAAGUAAUUUUCCCCCUGUAUGUAUGUAUAUGUUUCUUUCUCCACUUUAGGAUUUUUGUUCUUCAGAUUAAGUUUCAUGAACUUACCAAUGACCUGGACGUAAUUUUUCAGAAAGUAUGUGCAAGGUGUUCGACAAAAUGCCUGUUAGGGGUGUGAGAUUUUUACUAUCUCUGAAGGAAAUAUAAUCUAAAGUGGCUUUUCCCCCUGUAUGCAUGUAUAUGUUUCUUCCACCGCUCUUUAGGAUUUUUGUUCUUUAGAUUACGUUUCAUGUCAUGCUCAAAUGGUUUCGUUAACAUUGUGAACAAAUCAUUCUAAGAUUAUUCUAAUUGUGAGGGGUGGCUAAACCAGUUUUCUUGAAACUCCUUCGCCAACUGUCGAUCUAUGCAUAAACUGGUUAAGGAACUUUAAUAUAUUAGUUGUUUCAUAGUUUUAAUGUCUUGUUCUUGUUCCACACUUGGUCCCCCAAGCUUGAUGCAUAAGCACCGAAACUGAGAUCACUGAAGGGUGGAUUUUUCCUUAUUAAUGUAUUAUUGUUGGCUUCUUCAAAAGUUGAAUUAAUUAAUUCCAAAACUUCAUAAUCUUUUUAGCUUUGUCACGAUUUUUCCUAUAAUGAUCAUGUCAAGGUUUGAAUGGAAGGAUGACUGCACACAAAAUUACUCAUCGAAGGGCAUCGAAAAGCAGCCACAUCUACCAGUUCAUAGAUUUUCAACACAACGACGUCGUUUGGGAAAAAAAAAACAACCAAAUGGAGAAACGACGUCUGCCAGGGAAAAUCAUGACAGAGGAUCCGCAACUGAGGGCCUAAGCUGUCCUACCCUUCUGAUUAUCAGAUGCAACACUUCACCUUCAAAAUGGAAACCUAUUCUGCCUGGUUUGUUUAGAUUUAAUGUCGCUGGAUCUUCUCCCGGCUAGGUCUUGCUGGUGUAGCUGAAAUUUUCUGAAUUAUGAGGUUACACAAGUUCCUUUCUUCUCAUCAUUCUUUGAUUCUUUGGUUCUUUAAGAAAAAAUAAUGUGGUUGAGCGAUCUCUGAAUUGCUACUUGGAGUCUUUAUUACUUUAUUCGCUUAGGCAUAGAAUUUUCUAGUGCCAUGAAGAGAUCACUAAAGCACAAGACCUUAUGGAGGAUAGUCAGCAUUUGUUGCAUUUAAGUUCCGCAAAGCGAGGUUUUUGGCUUACAAGUGAGAUUAACAUUGCAACUAAUGAGUUAGCUAAGAUGGAACUAGAACAAUAUAAGCCGUAAAUGGUAACUUUCUAUUUUUUGGUCCACUUUUUGAAUGUUACAACUGUUGGUUACAGAUAUCAAGGGGGGCUAUGUCUCUUUAGGCACUUUGUUACUAUCAAACUUUUGAAACUUCCCUUUCGCUUAAUAUAAGCCACGUUUUGUUCGUCGACUGUAUGGAUUUGUAUAAAUGGUAAAAUCCUCACUUGGCUUCACCAUACCUUUAGAAAUAUAUGUCAGGAUAGCGAGGGUUCUAGAUGCCAGAUGCAUGUAGAGGAUAUGCACCAUUUAUUCAUUGGUUGGUGCUUUGAUUCGAGACUUUUGGAUUAACUUCACAAUUUCAGCUUCGGGGGACACUAAACAAUUACAGGAAGCCAGAACCCAUGAUUAGAGGGAAGCCUUGGAAUGUUUUUUAUGUGUUGUUCUUCUAUGAUAGUUAUGGUUGAGUAGAAACAAAAUAAAAGUGUUUGACAGUCUGGACAGCGCUAAGCACAAAACUGAGACUUAACAAACAAAAAUCGAACAAAAUCCUCGCAUAUUUACAUGUUGGUUGCAAAUUUCUAGGUAAAUGCAAGUUGAGGUUGAACACUGAUGACAGUUUGCAAGGUAACCUUGGGUUGGCUAGUCUUGGAGUUGUCUUUAGGGACGAGAGGCGCUGCUGGAUGUUUUAACUUUUUUGAAGGUUGGCUAAUGUCAUGACCUUGAAUGCCAAACUUAUGGGCAUAUUUCCUGGUUUGCAAAUGGAAGAGUGAACUUGAUCAAGGGUGGAGCUCCUGCAAAUUCCCCUCAUAAGGUGCUGGAGGACGAAUGUAAAGAAAGCAUGGCAUGAAGGAAUUGGACUGUUGGCUAUAUUCCGCAGGAGGGAAAGAUGGGCCUCUAGCAGAUACACUUGUGGAAAUUGUGUUAAUUUGUCUUAAGGAAGUUAGAGAGCUUCUUUGAGCUGAAUUUCGCCAAAAUUUGUAAUCAUUGACUUUAGUUUAUCUUAUUUCUACCCUGUAAUCCCAAAAAGAAAAAGAAAUGCCGCGUUGUUUUCUUUGUCA
Rhododendron vialii is the source of this 2749-nucleotide long non-coding RNA. RefSeq lists it as uncharacterized. Lineage: Eukaryota; Viridiplantae; Streptophyta; Magnoliopsida; Ericales; Ericaceae. The record is from RefSeq and is a predicted model, not a curated record. The transcript has 2 exons.